CAAGUAAGUAAAUCCCCCGUCUAAUGGAGGACAUCACUGCAACUCGAAGAAGACAAAACUGUGAGUGAGUGAAACCCUGCAGACAUUUCAGUCUCUUUCCGGUCUCCUGAAAAGACCCUCGCACCAAAUCAACCCUCUUUUGUUCAUAGUAGGAACAACAACACAGGUUGCGAUGAGACGAACAAGUGCACAGCUGCCGGAGGCUACUGCUUCCGAGAAGACGGUCCCCACGUGUGCCCCGGGAAGGUCUUCAAAUUCUGUGGUCAUGGGAACUGUCACUGUUGCGUGGAUCCUUUCGGGCACGGGCACGGGAAUGGGAAUGGUCGGUAAUGGAAAGGAUUCAAACGAAAGUGGCUAACCCUUGCAACCAGAGGAGUGAGAACUGGCAUUGUCCCCUGCUAGACUGAGAACCAUUUAUUGAGAUUCCUAAUUUGACUGAAAACUUUCUUUUAUUCCUAAUUAUAAAUUGAAGAAUCAUAAAUUGAAGACUUUUGUUAUUUCUGAAAUAUGUUUUAUGAUUAUUCUGCAAAUAAAUUUAGCAUGCAAAA
This is a long non-coding RNA of Macrobrachium nipponense, 548 nucleotides long. RefSeq lists it as uncharacterized. The record is from RefSeq and is a predicted model, not a curated record. The transcript is spliced from 3 exons. Lineage: Eukaryota; Metazoa; Arthropoda; Malacostraca; Decapoda; Palaemonidae.